GACCCUAUAGUGCAGUUGGUAGAGCAUCCUAGAUAUUAUGGGAAGGUCCUAGGUUCAAAUCCUAGUGGGGUCA
This 73-nucleotide transfer RNA is filed under the name Sphaerobolus stellatus SS14. RNAcentral's name for it is "tRNA-Und (NNN) (tRNA-Und-NNN-8-1)". It matches the Rfam family "tRNA". Rfam says of the family: Transfer RNA (tRNA) molecules are approximately 80 nucleotides in length. Their secondary structure includes four short double-helical elements and three loops (D, anti-codon, and T loops). Further hydrogen bonds mediate the characteristic L-shaped molecular structure. tRNAs have two regions of fundamental functional importance: the anti-codon, which is responsible for specific mRNA codon recognition, and the 3' end, to which the tRNAs corresponding amino acid is attached (by aminoacyl-tRNA synthetases). tRNAs cope with the degeneracy of the genetic code in two manners: having more than one tRNA (with a specific anti-codon) for a particular amino acid; and 'wobble' base-pairing, i.e. permitting non-standard base-pairing at the 3rd anti-codon position. The record is from Rfam by way of RNAcentral. Lineage: Eukaryota; Fungi; Basidiomycota; Agaricomycetes; Geastrales; Sphaerobolaceae.